GGCUUUGCCUGCUAUCUCUUACCCAUGUCUUUUAAGUACCUUCGUUUCCUCGGCGGGUUCGCCCGCCGAUUGGACAAUUUAAACCAUUUGCAGUUGCAAUCAGCGUCUGAAAAAACUUAAUAGUUACAACUUUCAACAACGGAUCUCUUGGUUCUGGCAUCGAUGAAGAACGCAGCGAAAUGCGAUAAGUAGUGUGAAUUGCAGAAUUCAGUGAAUCAUCGAAUCUUUGAACGCACAUUGCGCCCCUUGGUAUUCCAUGGGGCAUGCCUGUUCGAGCGUCAUUUGUACCUUCAAGCUCUGCUUGGUGUUGGGUGUUUGUCUCGCCUCUGCGUGUAGACUCGCCUCAAAACAAUUGGCAGCCGGCGUAUUGAUUUCGGAGCGCAGUACAUCUCGCGCUUUGCACUCAUAACGACGACGUCCAAAAGUACAUUUUUACACUCUUGACCUCGGAUCAGGUAGGGAUACCCGCUGAACUUAAGCAUAUC
RNAcentral lists this ribosomal RNA (485 nucleotides) under uncultured fungus. RNAcentral describes it as "eukaryotic LSU rRNA". The stretch from base 128 to 281 matches the Rfam family "5.8S ribosomal RNA". The record is from RNAcentral. Lineage: Eukaryota; Fungi.